AUCUUAUUUUCGGAAACCUCCGACGGGUUGAUAUACUUUUUGUUUGAGUAGUGAGUACUCUUCGUCUUUACAAACCCUACAAAUUCUCUUUUGGAGUUCUGGCAACUUUCAGGUUCCUCCCAAUCGCUCCGAUGCCUUUGAUGUUCACAUCUUCCGGUAGUCCUGUCGCAGAUGACUUUCGCCCUUCUCAUUCAGCCCAUUUCUCUAAAUCUAAUUAAUUUGAAUUCAAUGUGGUAGGACGAGAGUCAUCUGUGACAGGAUAAUGGAAGAUCUAGUUAUCAAAGGCUUAUUGGGCGUUUUUUUUUCAUGUUGAGUUCGUAGCAUAAUCUCCAACUUUUGCAGAGUAUUGCAAAACCGAAGUAGCACAGACGAUAUUUCAAUUAAGGCUCUGCACAUUGCUCCUAUUGUCACGUUUUUCAUUUGCAGAAGUUUAUCAAUAUGUGUCCUCCAAAACUUGCAAGUAUCUCUUCUUAUUAUGAAAAUAUUUCCAAACAUGUGUCUAUUCCAGUACAUAAUUACUUAAUAGAACUCUUUAGUGGCUCUAUCUAAGAUAGAAUUAUGCGUUUAACUAUUCUGAACAAUACCAAUAAAUUCUAAAUAUCGAGUACACUACAUCUUAUCAAAUUUGAAGGGUUUGGGUGCCUUGUUCCCGUAAUCCUAAAACAGAGUAAUAAGCGAAGGUGAAUAGUCUGAAUGAGUGCAAGGGAGGUCUUUUUGGUCGAAAUGCUAGUUAUAUUAUAAACUAACAAGGAUUAGGCCUGCUACAUGCAGCUGAAGUGUUGGAAGUUUGGGCAAUAAAAAAAUUACAAAAAUCACCUCUCGGAUACAUCUCUAUCAGAUACAUUCCUAUCCCCUCUCGAAUACAUCCCUCCCAUUAGGUAUGUAUCAUUUGCAAUGUAUCGAACAACCAAGGAAUGUAUCCGAGAGCAAUGAAAAAUUCAAAAUAAAAUAAAAUGGGGAAACUUCCCGUAUAGAAUUAGGAUGUAAUUAGCCCCCUAAUAUAUGGAAUUUAUGUACUUUAUACUUUAAAUAAUUGUUACAAAAAUUUAAUUUCCUUGAAUACAGAGGUUCCCGAAAUGCCUGUCCAUACUGCGCUAUUUGCAAACAUUGGAGGAACUGUCAAAAAGGUUGGAUCUCUGAAAGAACUGCACUAGAGACCUUCCUUGCUAAGCUUGUCCGACACUUUAUUCUGCUCCCGAAAUAUGAGUGUGUUGGCAUCACUGCUCCCAGCUUCUCCAUUAAUAACCUGCAUUCAAAGAUUAAGUUGGUAAAGAGGUGAUUAUCGUGUUCAAACAUAUUGAUCAGUUCCAUGGAGUCUCUGUUGAUGUCUAUUGGGUUCAGCCUAUAUUCAAUGGCCAUAAGCACACCUUGUCUUAGCGCACGAACCUUGCCAAGAUUGGGUUGACAUGGGCUUCUUUGCUGAUAAAAGCCAAUGAUCCAGUCACCUCUAUGGUUUCUGAUAACACCUCCAAGACCUCCUCGUCCCGGGGCUUUCUUUCGCAGCCCCAUCAGUAUUCGGUUUAAACCUACCUGGCACACGAGGUUUCCACCUGACCUGGAUGACAUAUUACUGAUCAAGGAAGGUUAGUAAUAUACUAGAGUCAAAAUACAUGUCGAUCCAAAAGUCAUUAGCAAAACAUUUAUCUAACCUUUCAGGUAUUCAAGCAUUUAAGUAGGUCAUCAUUCACAUCAUAACAAUACCACCAGGUGUGAUAAGAGGAUCAAUCCAUAAUACAGGAUUGGGAAUUUUUGGAUUGAAAAUCAUUUUUUGGUGAGAAGCUUUGAGAUGAAAGAUGUUGAUUCACGAGGAAACUUCUUUUUAUUUUGAACAUCGAGAUUCAUUGUAGUAGUCUAGUAGAACGUACCUUUUGUUUUGAGGGUUAUAAUCUUGUAAUAUUCUUCAAAUGUGUGGACGAAAAAUGUACUAGUAGUCAAAGAAGACAAAUUAGAGAAAGAAGAAUUGCCUUCAGAACAAUAUGAAGAAUUUUACCUACGAACGAUGUUCUGUAUGUUUUAGUAAGAUGGACAAAUUGAUAUA
Solanum tuberosum (potato) is the source of this 2038-nucleotide long non-coding RNA. RefSeq lists it as uncharacterized. NCBI's taxonomy places the organism in Eukaryota, Viridiplantae, Streptophyta, Magnoliopsida, Solanales, Solanaceae. The transcript has 2 exons. The record is from RefSeq and is a predicted model, not a curated record.